AGCCAUGCGAGUCGAGAGGUGUAAGACCUCGGCAUACUGCUCAGUAACACGUGGUUAACCUGCCCUAAGGUGGAGAAUACUCCCGGGAAACUGGGGUUAAUGCUCCAUAGUGGAUAUGUCCUGGAAUGGUAUAUCCUCGAAAGAUCCGUCGCCUUAGGAUGGGACUGCGUCCGAUUAGGUUGUUGGCGGGGUAACGGCCCACCAAGCCAUUGAUCGGUACGGGUUGUGGGAGCAAGAUCCCGGAGAUGGAUUCUGAGACAUGAAUCCAGGCCCUACGGGGCGCAGCAGGCGCGCAAACUUCACAAUGCGAGCAAUCGUGAUAAGGAAACCCUGAGUGCCUGUCGAUGCAGGCUGUUCAUAUAUCUAAAUCAUAUGUGAAGAAAGGGCAGGGCAAGACCGGUGCCAGCCGCCGCGGUAAUACCGGCUGCUCGAGUGAUGGCCACUAUUACUGGGUUUAAAGCGUCCGUAGCUUGACUGUUAGGUCCCUUGGGAAAUCUUCGCGCUUAACGUGGAGGCGUCUAAGAGAUACCGGCAGUCUUGGAACUGGGAGAGGUAAACCGUACUUCGGGGGUAGGAGUGAAAUCUUGUAAUCCUCGAGGGACGACCUAUGGCGAAGGCAGUUUACCAGAACAGCUUCGACAGUGAGGGACGAAAGCUGGGGGAGCAAACGGGAUUAGAUACCCCGGUAGUCCCAGCCGUAAACAAUGUGCGUUAGGUGUGUCGGUAACCACGCGUUACUGAUGCGCCGAAGAGAAAUCGUGAAACGCACCACCU
This 774-nucleotide ribosomal RNA is filed under the name uncultured bacterium. RNAcentral describes it as "bacterial SSU rRNA". It matches the Rfam family "Archaeal small subunit ribosomal RNA", at positions 47 to 829 of the family's 1478-position model. The record is from RNAcentral.